This 1805-nucleotide ribosomal RNA is filed under the name Escherichia coli. RNAcentral describes it as "partial 23S ribosomal RNA". It matches the Rfam family "Bacterial large subunit ribosomal RNA", at positions 1059 to 2843 of the family's 2925-position model. The record is from RNAcentral. Lineage: Bacteria; Pseudomonadati; Pseudomonadota; Gammaproteobacteria; Enterobacterales; Enterobacteriaceae.
UUAAGUGGGAAACGAUGUGGGAAGGCCCAGACAGCCAGGAUGUUGGCUUAGAAGCAGCCAUCAUUUAAAGAAAGCGUAAUAGCUCACUGGUCGAGUCGGCCUGCGCGGAAGAUGUAACGGGGCUAAACCAUGCACCGAAGCUGCGGCAGCGACGCUGAUGCGUUGUUGGGUAGGGGAGCGUUCUGUAAGCCUGUGAAGGUGUGCUGUGAGGCAUGCUGGAGGUAUCAGAAGUGCGAAUGCUGACAUAAGUAACGAUAAAGCGGGUGAAAAGCCCGCUCGCCGGAAGACCAAGGGUUCCUGUCCAACGUUAAUCGGGGCAGGGUGAGUCGACCCCUAAGGCGAGGCCGAAAGGCGUAGUCGAUGGGAAACAGGUUAAUAUUCCUGUACUUGGUGUUACUGCGAAGGGGGGACGGAGAAGGCUAUGUUGGCCGGGCGACGGUUGUCCCGGUUUAAGCGUGUAGGCUGGUUUUCCAGGCAAAUCCGGAAAACUAAGGCUGAGGCGUGAUGACGAGGCACUACGGUGCUGAAGCAACAAAUGCCCUGCUUCCAGGAAAAGCCUCUAAGCAUCAGGUAACAUCAAAUCGUACCCCAAACCGACACAGGUGGUCAGGUAGAGAAUACCAAGGCGCUUGAGAGAACUCGGGUGAAGGAACUAGGCAAAAUGGUGCCGUAACUUCGGGAGAAGGCACGCUGAUAUGUAGGUGAAGUCCCUCGCGGAUGGAGCUGAAAUCAGUCGAAGAUACCAGCUGGCUGCAACUGUUUAUUAAAAACACAGCACUGUGCAAACACGAAAGUGGACGUAUACGGUGUGACGCCUGCCCGGUGCCGGAAGGUUAAUUGAUGGGGUCAGCGCAAGCGAAGCUCUUGAUCGAAGCCCCGGUAAACGGCGGCCGUAACUAUAACGGUCCUAAGGUAGCGAAAUUCCUUGUCGGGUAAGUUCCGACCUGCACGAAUGGCGUAAUGAUGGCCAGGCUGUCUCCACCCGAGACUCAGUGAAAUUGAACUCGCUGUGAAGAUGCAGUGUACCCGCGGCAAGACGGAAAGACCCCGUGAACCUUUACUAUAGCUUGACACUGAACAUUGAGCCUUGAUGUGUAGGAUAGGUGGGAGGCUUUGAAGUGUGGACGCCAGUCUGCAUGGAGCCGACCUUGAAAUACCACCCUUUAAUGUUUGAUGUUCUAACGUUGACCCGUAAUCCGGGUUGCGGACAGUGUCUGGUGGGUAGUUUGACUGGGGCGGUCUCCUCCUAAAGAGUAACGGAGGAGCACGAAGGUUGGCUAAUCCUGGUCGGACAUCAGGAGGUUAGUGCAAUGGCAUAAGCCAGCUUGACUGCGAGCGUGACGGCGCGAGCAGGUGCGAAAGCAGGUCAUAGUGAUCCGGUGGUUCUGAAUGGAAGGGCCAUCGCUCAACGGAUAAAAGGUACUCCGGGGAUAACAGGCUGAUACCGCCCAAGAGUUCAUAUCGACGGCGGUGUUUGGCACCUCGAUGUCGGCUCAUCACAUCCUGGGGCUGAAGUAGGUCCCAAGGGUAUGGCUGUUCGCCAUUUAAAGUGGUACGCGAGCUGGGUUUAGAACGUCGUGAGACAGUUCGGUCCCUAUCUGCCGUGGGCGCUGGAGAACUGAGGGGGGCUGCUCCUAGUACGAGAGGACCGGAGUGGACGCAUCACUGGUGUUCGGGUUGUCAUGCCAAUGGCACUGCCCGGUAGCUAAAUGCGGAAGAGAUAAGUGCUGAAAGCAUCUAAGCACGAAACUUGCCCCGAGAUGAGUUCUCCCUGACUCCUUGAGAGUCCUGAAGGAACGUUGAAG